UGACCAUUCACUGGACUAAAUUACAAGUGCCAGAUAUUGAUCUUGAUGGCAUCAGAGACAAUAAUGAAGAUAUUGUUGAUCAAGUUCGGGCUGCGUCUCAAACAUGGGGCUUUUUCCAAUUUAUCAAUCGUGGGGUUCCCUUAAACCUGAUACAAGAGAUGAUUGAAGGAGUUCACAAGUUUAAUGAACAAGAUGUUGAGGUGAAGAAACAGUUCUACACACGUGAGCCCACAAGAAAUGUUAGAUUCAACAGCAACUUUGAUCUGUAUCACUCACGAACCGCAAGUUGGAGGAUACGUUGGCCAUUUCUACUUCGGGUACCAAAAGUUUGGAACCCAAUGAAUGGCCGAAAGUUUGCAGGUAUAUACAUAAUCGAUCCCUGUCUCUGUAUAUAUAUUGCUGGUUAAUUAAGAGCCCUUUUUAAUUAAUGUUCAGUGUAUUGUAACCAGCCAUCAUGAGUUGUGAUAUCAUAUUCUUCUGUACAAUCGUUCAUCCGAAUUUGCAGAGAUACCAUAAUGGAGUACAUAAAAGAAGUCUCAAAAUUGGGUGAGACUCUGUUUGAAAUACUAUCAAUGGCUCUAGGACUGAAGCCUGAAUAUUUGAAAGAUAUGGGAUGCUUCAAUUUAUACAGCGUUAUCUGCCACUACUAUCCGCACUGCCCACAGCCAGAGCUGACUUUGGGAGCUAGAAGGCAUUCUGAUCCUUCAUUCCUUACAAUUCUGUUGCAAGACCAAAUCGGUGGCCUUCAAGUCUUUAAUGAAAAUCAGUGGAUUGAUGUUAACCCUAUAUCAGGAGGCUUGGUGGUAAAUAUAGGGGACUUUCUCCAGGUUUGUCUUUGAAAAUAACGGAGACAAUUAAUCUUCCCAUCAUCUGCUUAUUUUUCGUGUUUUAAUAGUAACUAUAUAUGCUAAUUUAAAGUUUUCAAUAAUUAAUCAAUUCAGGUUGUAUCAAACGAUAAGCUCAAGAGUGUUGACCAUAGAGUUGUGGCCAAUGUUCAUGCCACUGCAAGGGUUUCCGUGGCAUGCUUUUUCACAGGACACACCACUGAAACGCAGAAGCCCUUUGGGCCGAUCAAAGAGUUGAUCUCUAAAGAAAAUCCGCCUGUUUACAGAGAAUUUCUAGUGGGAGAAUAUUUCAGCAAAUAUUUUUCUAAAGAACUUGAAAGCAAGUCUGCUGGCCUCAAGCAGUUCGAGGUUUGAAAGUAGCAAUAUAUUUGAAUAGAGUUCUUAAAUGUUGUGUAAUCAAUAAAUUGAGGAUGUACUGAGGUUAAUAUCUGCCCUUCCGAAUAACUUCAAACUACAUGCAUGUUUCAAACAAGGAUAAUAAUUCUCUUGUGAUUCAAUUUUUUUCUUUUUUCUUUUUUUGUGUAAGAUUCAAGAAGCAUCCUAUCAAUUUGGAAUUUUUUUAUGUUCUCAUGCUAAUUUAAAAAUAAACAAUUAGACUUAAUGCUCAUAUAUAAUUAUAUAUGAUCUACUACUGAUAUUUUUACAAGAUUGAACUUUAGUGUAUCAUUAAUUAAAAAAAAAUUAUUAUGUACUGAAAUCUUAAUAGUAUGGGUUUUACUAAGUUAUAUAGAAUGUAACUUACAAUAAACCCAAAGUUAAUUAUCCAUAACCUUUUGCUUGUUUCACAUAUUAUCAUUCUCUUGUAUUGAAAAAUUAUUUUUGAAUUGUUGUAAAUUACAUAUAACCUAACUUAGCAGCUACCCAUGUAUCAUUAUAAAUAUAUUCUGUUACACGAGAUCUUUGAACUAUACAACACAAAUUAGCAAAAAAUUUGGACUUGAAAAAUGAAAUAACUGAAGCGGUUGAACAUGAGCUGUAAUGCUCAGGGCUACCCAAUAUGCUGGACUUUUCUAAUUCCAACAUCGGAGUCAAAGGGUCAACAGAUUAGGCAAUUGAUUAAGGCCUCAUAUUUAGUUACUAUGCAUUUAGUCAAACUUUUUUAUUUGUAAAUUUUCUAUCCUCAGUAAUUAUAAAGCAGCAAACGAUGUAUAUUAAUUAGUUUGCAAAAUAAAGGGCCUAUUUGCAAUUCUCCUGUAUACAGUGAAACGUCUGUGCAAGAUUUCAUUGCGUACUGCAAAUCAAGAGGGCUUUGAUGGGAACUCUGCUCUCACACGUUUCAAGUUGCGGAGGUAAGUUAACCACAGAUAGGAGGUUAGGUUGCCGUGAUUAACGGAUUGUUUACCCAAGUGGAUGGUUGUGCUGGAGCCGUACUGAUGCGCACUGACAUCCAUGUGCUUCUCAACACUUGAUGUUUGCUUUCACUUGUCGAAGUUGGAUUUGAAAAAGAAAAAGCAGAUGUACGAAAAGGGUCCAGCCACAGUUCAACACCCCCCUUGUAAAUUUUCUUUAACCCCUUUCACUCAUUUUUAUUUAAAUUUUAUUUCACAAAUAUUAAGUUACUUCAUACUGCAUCCAUAUAAAUAUUUUAGUUAGCACUAUAUACUAUUUAUUAUUAACAAAAUUUUAUUUUAUAUUACACAUGUAUCACAAUGCCCCCUCCCUUUAUAAUUUUGAGAUCAAAUAAUUAAUCGGAUCGACCCAAACCCUCGAACCCGACCCGGACUUCAUUUCCAUUUUCGGCCACUCCACCGGCCAAGGUUGGUACCAAUUGGAAGCUCGUGAGAUGCCGGUCAUCUCCAUGCCAUCCUCGUUGCCGGAAGGCUUUCGGAAAGCCGCCGUCGACCCGACCCUGAUUCCGAUUUCGUUUUCGGCCACUCCACUGGCCAAGGUUGGUACCGAUCGGAAGCUAGUGUGACGCCAGUCAUCGCCAUACCAUCCUUUUUGCCGGAAAGUAUUCGUAAAGCUGCGGAAUCGCCGCUUCAAUUCGCCACGAUUUUACUAGUUUUCGGUGACGCCACCACUUGAGUUUUGUUUCCCAUAAAUCUCUCUGUCUUUUCCGACCAACCACAGCCACCGGAGGAGUCGUUAUCGGCCGUUGAAGGAUUUAGGGAUGCAGUAGAAAGUAACUUAAUAUUUGUGAAGCAAAGUUCAAAUAAAAAUGAGUAAAAGGGGUUAAAUGAAAUUUUACAAUGGUGCAGCCAAAAAGACAAAAGAGAUGACAUGGUACCGCUGUGGUAUAAUAGCUUAGUCCGUACGAAAAACCAAUUAGGACGUCUAUUUACUUCAGGAAUUAAAAUUAUUUGAAUAUCUCUGCUGUAAGCAUAGCAUCCUUGAAUCGUUGACUGCCAGUGCAAUGGUGUGAUCUCUAUCAAGCAAUAAGUAAGCUUGAUUUUAAGCCAGGCCGUUUACCAAUUAUAACUAUCCAAUGUUUAUGCUCAUUAAUUAUUUGAUACUUAGUUGAAAAGUAUUAACAUAGGCCAUAAGACUACCAUCUAUGUUCAUCAUUUUCUUGUAGAAAACAGACGAUGGAUAUCUCAGAUGCCAGUAGAACGACCACGCAAACUGUAACGGACUACGACAGAGCUAAAGAGGUUCAGGCUUUUGAUGAUACAAAAGCCGGUGUCAAAGGAUUAGUGGAUGCUGGAAUUGUGAACAUUCCGAGGAUAUUCAUUCGACCACCUGAGGAGCUUGUCGAGGAGUUGACCAGUCAUCAGACCAAUUUUCAAGUACCGGUUAUCGAUCUUGAUGGCGUCAGAGGCAAUAACCUUGAGGAGAUUGUUGAUCAAGUUCGGGCUGCAGCAGAGACAUGGGGCUUCUUUCAAGUGGUGAAUCACGGUAUUCCCUUAAAUGUGUUGGAAGAGAUGAUUGAAGGGAUAAGCAAGUUUAAUGAACUAGAUGUUGAGUUGAAGAAAGAGUUUUAUACACGUGACCAGACAAGAAAUGUCAGAUUCAACAGCAACUUUGAUCUGCAUUACUCACGAACAGCUAAUUGGCGGGACACGUUGACAAUUUCUACCUUAGCUUCCACCAAUUUAGACCCCAACGAAUACCCAGAAGUUUGCAGGUACAUACUUUGAUCGCUGGCUAUGUAUAGCAUUAUCUCCCAACAUCUGAAUCCGACUGAUUGUUUAAUAUGCAAUUGGAUACACUUUAUGGAAGGCAUUGGGCUUGCUACCACAAGUUCAAAUAAUAAGUUCCUUUGGAGCAAAAUUUGUUGAAGUUGAAAAAGAAAGUCUUAGUUGGGACGAAUAGUUGCUGCAAUAUGCUGAGGUUUUUUCUCAUGCUUGGGUUAUUAAGUUUGUUUAUUGAAUGUGAAAGACACGGUCUGUAAGCAUGUUCUUGUUCCUGCUAAUAUUUCAUUUAAUGUUUCACUAUUUGCUGCUGCAAAUGAGCACCCUACUUUAUGCUCACUUAGGCAUUUAAUCAAACUUCUUCAUAGAUAUUAUCAAACACCUGUGAACUCCUUGUAAUAGACGUGAAAACAAACCAUCAACAGAAAUCAUCAACCAACAACUACAAGAGCAAUUAAUGUGUGGUUCAUUGAAUUGGCUUAUGUACAUCUAAGUUCCUAGCAUUCGAUAUCACAAAAUUGUAAUUCUAAAUGAAUCAACAAUUUUGCAUUUUACAGGUCUAUUGAAAUUAAUUAAUUCGUGAUCACAGUGAUAUUUUUUUCUUUUUACUUUUUUCUGUUAAUACCCAAUUGAUUGUAUCUUCUCCUGUGCCAAUUGUUCUCACAAAUUUGCAGAGAUGCUGCGAGAGAGUACAUUAAAAAUGUCACAAAAUUGGCUGAAACUCUGUUUGAAUUAUUAUCACUGGCUCUUGGGCUGAAGGCUGAACAUUUACUAGAGAUUGGAUGCCCUAAAGAAUACAUCCUUCUCUGCCAAUACUAUCCACCUUGCCCUCAGCCAGAUUUGACAUUGGGAGCUACCGGGCAUUCAGACCCUUCAUUUCUUACCAUUCUUCUGCAAGACCAAAUCGGCGGCCUUCAAGUCUUUCAUGACAAUCAAUGGGUUGGUGUUCAACCCAUUGUGGGAGGCUUAGUGGUAAACAUAGGGGACUUCCUCCAGGUUUGUCUUUCACAAUUGCAAUGACUAUUUUUUCCACCAUCAUGCCAAUCUUCAUCAAUCAUCACGACACUCAUGACUAAUUAGCUGAUGGUGUCUUAAAAUUGAAUCAGAUUAUAUCAAACGACAAGUUCAAGAGUGUUAAACACAGAGUAGUCGCCAGUCAUGUCGGUCCAAGGGUUUCCGUGCCAUGCUUUUUCAUGGGACAUAAUGCAGAAAUCCCAAAGUCUUAUGGGCCGAUCAAAGAGUUGACAUCCGCAGAAAAUCCUCCUAUUUACAGAGAUUUUCGUGCAAGUGAAUAUUUUAGCAAACGAUUUUCUACGGUGCUUGAUGACAAUUCUCCCCUCCAUCAGCUCAAACUAUGAAGCUGGCAAUAUUUGUAUAAAUUACUCGUAUUUGGUAACAACAAUUUACAAAUUGCGGAGUCCUGUUGUGAACUCUUUCCCAAUAAUUCCGAAAAAAAUAUGUUUUAACUAAUUAAUAACGUAUGAAUCAUCCAAUGUUGCUCUUUGAUUUCUUCAAUUAUUAGAAUGUCCCUACUGCACUGCAGUUCCCCAAUUAGUGUCAAAAUUGCUCAGCCAGCGCUCGUUGUAAUGCUUCGUUUAUUAUUUGAUAUGGAUUAAACGAUUGUUUUAAUCAGAUCAUGAUUCAAGGUCGAUACGAUCACCCUAAGAUCUUGAUUGACCACUAAUGAUGAAAGAAAAAAGAACACAGACUAUCUGAUUUAUGCACUAAACAAAAACAAUCAAUUGAGCACCAAGAACCAGAUUUACGUGGUUCAAUGGAGAUGGCUCAUAUUCAAGGAAGAAUGGGGUAUCAGGAUUUCAUUAAACCUUGAUGUCAAAUUAUACAAUGACACUACAAGUUGCUUGGAACAAGAUGAAGUGACUUUCUCUCUCUAAUUCUUAUAUCUACAGCAUGUAUGAGAUCUCAGUAACCAUGAUGUUGAUCAGCUUGUCAUAACAGCAACAGCUACGCACCAGCGCGACGGGGACCCGGGGAAGAAAAAAAAAACUGUUCCUGUUUGACCAAUUUGACUUAGGUGGCCCAGGUGCGUUGCACGUGAUUACUCAGUACAACAUCAAAACGACAGAAUUCUUAGCCGUUUCACGCUUGCAUUUUUAACGCCAAACGUUACCCUUUUUUUCUCUGUUUCAAAGGGCAAACCACAGGCGUUUUAAUUUGCAGCCUCCUGAUUUGAGAUCUUAUGUCAACGCCGUCGUAAUCCUUACUCCUUAGUCGAUCAGACACCUCAUUCUCUUAUCCUUGAGAUUUAUGAUUUUGCUGUCCCAUGAGCGUAAUAGUUUGGUUUUUUUUUUUUUUUUUCAAUAAAACCACCAAGAGGUGUGGUUAGGUGGACCCCCUGUCUAUAAUGUAAAUGAAUAAUAAAGUAAAUACAUGAGAAAGACAUAAACCAAAAUCUCCUAAAAUAAAUAUAAAUAACACAAGAAUAAAAUUAUCAAAAGGAAGAUAAAAGCCAUCAAUGCUCGCCUCUGAGGUAAGGAACAACAUGCACAUCCAAAUGGAGAGUGCUAGAUACGUCAGCACGAAGAUCUUGAGAACAUAAGAAAUGCCGACUAACCUAAUGAGUGUAGGCUCGAUUGGCCAAAAAAUGGGCAAUAAAAGUAACCCAGAGAAGCACAUGCCUAACAAAAAUAGGAGAGGAAGAUGUCAAAGCACACACCCGACACAACAAAUAAACAUAAUCCCAACGAACAGGACCCUGGGAAUGAAUCCCAGAAAAACUUGUGGCCGAGUCUGACUCUAUGCACAGAGUAACCAAGCUAAGUAGCAAGCUCCAACAUUUCACAAACAACCAUAAGCUCAAGAUAAAAAAUUGGCUGACAGCCAAGAAAAGAUUCAAAAGCAGCUAAAAUCACACUUCGAUGAACUCAUAUAAUACCACCUGACGCAGCCAUUCCAGGAUUGCCCCUAGGGCAACCAUCCACAAUCAGUUUUGCAAUCCCAAUAAGCAGCCUCAUCGAAGAAAGGUAGUAGUUUGUUUAUUUAUUUAACUUUCAUUGGUUUGUGAUUUUUUAGAUGGACUUCAAAUAUGAUACGUCUAUGCAAGUCUCCAUGGAUAUUGAGUUGGACUUCAAAUCUCCAUGCAUAUACUGGACUUAUUGUUUCUAGAAUCCAGAAAAAGUGUAACUAUUGGCAACCCUCUAUAAUCCUUAUAAAACCUGUCUUCUAUGACAAUUACAUUAAAGAACAACAUAAAUCUAACUAAAUUCUUUCAUUUUCUUUCUCUAACUCUUUAUACCUAUAGAACCAAUCCAAUGUUUUUCUUUUUUUUUUUUUCAAACAAACACUUUGUGUUUUAAUUAUUCUUAAUCUACAAAUAAUUUCUCACGCUUAUCGAUGAUCUCCUCGUCCAUUUUCAAUUUCUUGUAUAACCUUGAACAAUAAAUUUUUUUAAAAUUACAGAUAAUCCACUUUUAACCUUAGUUAAUUCCAACAUACGUGAUUUUACUUUUAAGAGUUAAAUAUAUAUAAUUUAAUCGUUAAAAAAGUUGUUCGAGAAACAUAUAUUUGGAGUUGAGUGGAAGAAGUUGAAAAAAUAGAAAAAAAAGAUAUUUAAUAGAAAAGGGACUUUAAAAGGAAAUUACAGGGUGCUAAUAGUCCUACUUUCUUAGACAAAGUAGAGGAAUGGGCAAAUCUAGAUCAAUUCUUUGUAGAGUUAUUGUGUAGAAAUGUGUCAAACAACGAUGCAAGAUAAUAACAAAUAAAGGAGAGAAAGAAAAUGUCACAAAAGAAUUUAUGUGGUUCAAUAAAUUGCCUACAUCCAAGGCAGGGAGAAUUCAAAUAUCCACUAAUAUGACAAAGGUGGAAUACAACUAUCUCAAUGUUACUUCUCAAAUUCUCAAUACACCUUUUUUUCUCAAUUCACAAGUAUCAAAGAAAGAACACUCAAGUUAUUUGAAUUCCUCAAAUAGGAAUUGAACCUCGCAAAUGCUUACUGGAAGCUCUUAAUUAAUGCUUAUAGGAAGCUCACAUUUGUUUUUCUUCGAUACUUAAACAAAUGGAACCAUGAGCUAUUUAUAGCCAAUUUGCAAACAAUGGCCACAUUAUUUUAAUCCAAAGUGGUUACCUAACUUGGCCAUUUUUUUGCCAAAAUGCUCCACUAACAACUAUUUAAUGGCACCUACUUUGGCCACUAUCAAUUGUGGGCUUACUUUUACCUAAUUGCUCCACUAACAAAUGUUGAAUCGCUAAAUGGAAGCCACAUCGCCAACAAUCUCCACCUUGGCUUCAAAUUUUAUGUCGUCAACAUUUCCUACUGGAGCAAUUAGGUAAAGUAAGCCAAAAAUUGAAAGUGGCCAAAUUAGGUGGCAUUAAAUAAUUGUUAGUGGAGCAUUUUGGCAAAGGAAAUGGCCAAGUUAGUUAACCACUUUGGAUUAAAAUAAUGUGGCCAUUGUUUGCAAAUUGGCCAUAAAUAGCUUAUGGUUCCAUUUGUUUAAGUAUCGAAGAAAAACAAUUGUGAGCUUCUUACAAGCAUUAAUUAAGAGCUUUCAGUAACUAUUUGUGAGGUUCAAUUCCUACUUGAGGAAUUCAAAUAACCUGAGUGUUCUUUCUUCAAUACUUGUGAAUUGAGAGAAAGGGUUAAUUAGAAAUUUGAGAAGUGAGACAGUUGUAUUUCACAUUUGUCAUAUUAGUGGAAAUUUGAAUUGUCCCUCCCGUGGAUGUAGGUACUUUUUUUUUUUAAUCUCUUUUUCUUUCUUUCCUUUAUUUGGGAUCUAUAGUGUUGGUAAAGACAGUGUUGACAAAUGCUAAAGUUGAAGUUGAAAAAUUUAAUGGAACCGACAACUUCAGUAUGUGGCAAUGCGAGAUAAUAUCAAAUAAAGGAGAUAAAGGAAAUGACACCAAAAAAAAAAAAAAUUACGUGGUUUGGCAAAUUGCCUACAUGCAUGGGAGGGAAAAUUUAAAUGUCUAUUAAUAUGACAAAGGUGGAAUAGAACUCUCUCAAGCUUACUUCCUAAAUUCUCAAUACACCCUUUCUCUCAAUUCACAAGUAUCAAAGAAAGAAUACUCAAAUUGUUCGAAUUCCUCAAAUAGGAAUUGAACCUCGGAGAUAGUCACUAAAAGCUCUUAACUAAUACUUUUAGGAAGCUCACAAUAGUUUGUCUUCGAUACUCAAACAAAUGGAACCGUAGGCUAUUUAUAGCCAAUUUUUCAAACAAUGGCCAUAUCUUAAUCCAAAGUGGUUAUCUAGCAUGACCAUUUCUUUUACCAAAAUGCUCCAUUAAUGAUUAUUUUAUGGCACCUAAUUUGACCACUAUCAAUUGUUGGCUUACUUUCCCUAAUUGCUCCACUAACAAAUGUUGAAUAGCUAAAUGGAAGCCACAUUGCCAAGUGCCAACAAUAGUGAAGCUCCUAACGCUAUUUUAAAACUGUAGGAAACCCCACUUAUUAUAUAUAUAUAACUCUUAUUUUGAUGAAAUUUUUAGAAAGGGACAAAAGGUCAUAAUAGAGUUUAAUUAAUUAACAAACAAUUUUUUUAUAAUAAAAACAUAUAAUUUUUUACUAUAUUGCCACAAAUUUAUGUUGUUUUAAAAUAAUUAUUUAUAUCAUGUAAAGAUUGAGUUCAUGAUUUAUAAAUAUAAAAAUAUUUUAAUCUAGUUAAAUUCAUAUUUAUUAAUAUAAGGUUUUAUGAUAAUUUUUUAAAAAGUGCGCAACGACUAUUUAAAAACUAUUUCAUCAAGCCACGAGGACAAUUAAUUGGACCUUUUUAAUGUAAAAUGCCCAAUUUUGAAAAAUUCCAGCUAAGUGGCAAAACUAAAAGCAAUGCCUUGAACAAUUUGGCACCAUGGCCUCCCUAGGUUUCCUUAAUCUACAAAUAUUAAAGCGAACCAUGAAUUAUUUGUCUCUGUUUCCAAGUAUUAGGUAGAAUUAAUGUACUAGGCAUUUUAGCUUAGGAAAUCCUCUAUAUAUAUAUAUAUAACACAAAAAAAUCAAACACGUGAUUUGAAAAUUUUUAAAAGUAUUAAAAAUGUUUAGAAAUAUAUAAUAGAUAGAUUCAGCCCAGGAUAUCGUAUGAUAUUAAUGACAACGAGACAAAGGCUUGAAAAAUCAAACAUGAAAGACACAUUUCCCCCCGGCAAGAUGCCUAAUAUUUACAAUGCUUUGGUAGUUAAGAGUCGAGACACAACGACAUGAAAAAUCAAAGCAAAUGAUGAUGUGUUUCAAAAGUUUAUCUUUUCUGUGAGUGAAAGGACUCGAUAAAGUAGAAAUCGAACGACGACUGAUCUCUGGUAAACAUCUAUAGGUACGCAACAAAUAUUUACCAACUAACUAAAUUAAGAUUAUGUUUGAGAAAUCAAACAUAAUUUGGAAAAUAAUUAGUGUUGCAAAUAUUUAUCCUUUCUGUGAUUGAAAGAACUCGAUAAAUAGCAACUCAAUGAUAAUUGAUCUCUGGUAAAUAUCUAUAGGUGAACACAGAUACUUGCCAGCUAACUUAAGAUUAAGUUAGUAUGAAGUAUAUAUUUUAAAAUAUACCAAAAUUUCCAAGUAGUAUCCCAAUAUUUCUAAUCCAAGUGCUGACCAUUCAAUAGAUGAAUGCCUCCUCACUUAAGAUGAUUAGAGGUAGAAAAAUGAUAUUUAUUCAUAAUGAUUAAAGAACAGGCCAUAGAAACAAUUAUAAAACCAUAUGGCAUUAACGUGUUUUUCAUUAAUUUUUUUAAUUAAUUGUAACACCAUAUGGUGUUAACUUAUUUUUAUCAUUAUCUUUUUUCAUAACUGUAGGACCAUAGAGUAUUAACGUGUACUCUAUAGCCAUUAUGAAAUAUUUUCCUGGAUGAUGAAUAUUAUUAGGUAAGAUACUGUAAAAAAACAAAAUGAAAAUGAUAAAAUAAUCUAAUCAAGAUCGUUCUCAAUCAUACUCUAAAUCUAUCAAAUAAUGUCCCUUAAAGAAACAGUCCACAAAGCCUUCUUCUAGAUAUCAAUGUUUAUUACUCCAAAAUUUUUCCUGAAAACGCAGUUUAAAGAGGAAAAAAAAAAUAGUGGGAAACAACAAUAGAAUCUGUGAAGUUGACAACAAUUAUGGCAUUUUCCAGUAAUUGAGAAAUUUAAUCAUAAGUAAUAUAAGAACUUUCUCACAAGUCAUGCCGGAUAUUACUGUAUUAGAAUAAAUAAGCCAUUAGAUGCCCACAAUCGUCAUCGUUUUCUUGCAGGAACGGAAAAUGGUUAUCUCGGAUGACACCAAAACAUCUUCUGAAAAUGGGUCGGAAAUCGACAGAGAGCGAAAGGUUUUUGAUGAUACGAAAGCCGGUGUCAAAGGACUAGUGGACGCUGGAGUAGUGAAUAUUCCCAGGAUAUUCAUUCGACAACCUGAAGAGCUUGCUCAGGAGUUGACCACUCACCGGACCAAACUACAACUGCCAGUUGUCGAUCUUGAUGGCAUCAAAGACAAUAAACUUGAAGACAUUGUUGAUCAAGUUCGGGCUGCGUCCGAAACAUGGGGCUUUUUCAAAGUUAUUAAUUAUGGGGUUUCCUUAAACCUGAUACAAGAGAUGAUUGAAGGAGUUCACAAGUUUAAUGAACAAGAUGUUGAGGUGAAGAAACAGUUCUACACACGUGAGCCCACGAGAAAUGUUUGAUUCAACAGCACAUUGAUAUCUAUCACUCACGAACUGCAAGUUGGAGGGACACGUUGGCU
RNAcentral lists this long non-coding RNA (11564 nucleotides) under Citrus sinensis (sweet orange). RNAcentral's name for it is "long non-coding RNA (CSIN_LNC003823)". The record is from RNAcentral. Lineage: Eukaryota; Viridiplantae; Streptophyta; Magnoliopsida; Sapindales; Rutaceae.